AUGCAUAAUGCUAGAUCUGGAGUAAUUAACUAGAUCUUGAAUCCAGACAAUAGAUAUGCCCGCCAUAGGUAUCUGUAGUUGGAUCUAUUAUUUGAUGAGUCUGGUUUAUAGGUGUGUAAUAAGAAUCGGCCUAUCUACUAAA
This 142-nucleotide small RNA is filed under the name Arabidopsis thaliana (thale cress). RNAcentral's name for it is "ATSL264350". Lineage: Eukaryota; Viridiplantae; Streptophyta; Magnoliopsida; Brassicales; Brassicaceae. The record is from RNAcentral.